GACGAACGCUGGCGGCGUGCUUAACACAUGCAAGUCGAGCGGAAAGGCCCUUUCGGGGGUACUCGAGCGGCGAACGGGUGAGUAACACGUGAGUAAUCUGCCCUUGGCUUUGGGAUAACUACCGGAAACGGUGGCUAAUACCGGAUACGACGUACUCAGGCAUCUGAUGUGCGUGGAAAGUUUUUUCGGCCAGGGAUGUGCUCGCGGCCUAUCAGCUUGUUGGUGGGGUAAUGGCCUACCAAGGCUUCGACGGGUAGCCGGCCUGAGAGGGUGACCGGCCACACUGGGACUGAGACACGGCCCAGACUCCUACGGGAGGCAGCAGUGGGGAAUAUUGGACAAUGGGCGGAAGCCUGAUCCAGCAACGCCGCGUGAGGGAUGACGGCCU
Molecule: ribosomal RNA, 388 nt
Filed under: uncultured bacterium
Lineage: Bacteria
Description: bacterial SSU rRNA
Rfam family: Bacterial small subunit ribosomal RNA
Source: RNAcentral